AUUGGUGAUGGAUACACUUGCACUGGAAACCUGCUACAGGUUCUCUACUCCAAGCCCAACUUUUCCAACUUUAUGUCACAAAUCUUGAAUUGCUCCAGAACUUCAGCAUCAGGUCAAGAGUUUGUGAGGCGUCUCAGCAACAUAACCACCCAGUCCACCCUGUUUGUGCCUGAUAAUGACGGUCUCUAUGAGAACGAGACACUGUCCUACAGGGAUUUAGAGCACCACCUGCUGGAUGGGAGAGCUCUGGUGCUGCAAGCUCUCAUUAACGUCAGCCAUGUUCGAA
This is a non-coding RNA of Electrophorus electricus (electric eel), 286 nucleotides long. The record is from RefSeq and is a predicted model, not a curated record. Lineage: Eukaryota; Metazoa; Chordata; Actinopteri; Gymnotiformes; Gymnotidae.